Molecule: long non-coding RNA, 13713 nt
Filed under: Citrus sinensis (sweet orange)
Lineage: Eukaryota; Viridiplantae; Streptophyta; Magnoliopsida; Sapindales; Rutaceae
Description: long non-coding RNA (CSIN_LNC000701)
Source: RNAcentral
UCUCUUUAACAAUGAAAGCAAAAUAAUUUGGAAAUCCUCAGCAGAAAAGAUAUCACUGAGUCCACCAAAUCCCUCCAUCACUCCAAACGGAACAUUAACACCAGAAGGAAAAGCACCACCACCUGUAACGGGCAUAGCACCAACAGAAGAGAACAUGCCAAAAUCACCCAAAAAAAGAGGAACAAAAUUGGUGGUGGUAGCAGGAGGAUCAACCGCUGGUGGGCUUCUGAUUCCCUACAUCACUCCAAACGGAACAUUAACACCAGAAGGAAAUGCAGCCUACAUCACUCCAACAUACAUCACUCCAACAAACCGAACAUCAACACCAGACGGAAAUGCACCCUACAUCUCUCCAACAUACAUCACUCCAACAAACGGAACAUCAACACCAGAAGGAAAUGCACCCUAUAUCACUCCAACAUUCAUCACUCCAACAAACGGAACAUCAACACCAGAAGGAAAUGUACCCUACAUCACUCCAACAAACGGAACAUUAGCACCAGAAGGAAAUGCACCACCACCUGCGACAGGCAUAGCACCAACAGAAGAGAACAGGCCAAAAUCACCCAAAAAAGGACGAACAAAAUUGGUGGCGGUAGUAGCAGGAUCAACCGCUGGUGGGCUUCUGAUUAUCUGUAUUGUAAUUGUGUUGUAUAUUGUGAAAGUUCGGAGGAACGUAGGGGAGGAGGAACAUUUGGAAGAUGACAUGAAACAAGUUCCUGGAUUACCUGUGAGGUUUUCAUAUGAAGAUUUACAGAUUGCGACAGAAGAUUUUAAAGAGAGAAUUGGAGGAGGGGGGUUUGGAACUGUGUUCAAGGGGGUUUUAAAAGACGGCAGUAAAAUUGCUGUAAAGCGUCUGGAUAGAAUGGAGCAGGGGAUGAGGGAGUUCGUAGCAGAAGUUGAGACCAUCGGUAGCUUGCAUCAUUUCAAUCUUGUGAGAUUGAUUGGCUUUUGCGUAGAGAAAUCCUGCAGGCUUCUUGUUUAUGAGUACAUGAGCAAUGGCUCCUUGGAAAAAUGGAUUUUUGUCAGAGAUCCGAGACCUUGUCUUGACUGGCAAACUAGGAAGAAAAUAAUACUUGAUGUAGCCAAAGGAUUGACUUAUCUGCAUGAAGAUUGCCGGAGAAGAGUGGCACAUCUUGAUAUAAAGCCACAAAAUAUUCUCUUGGACGAAAAUUUCAAUGCCAAGGUUUCUGAUUUUGGGUUGGCUCAGCUAAUCGAGAGAGACGAGAGCCUAGUGCAGGCAACAAUGAGAGGAACUCCAGGAUACAUUGCUCCGGAAUGGAGGAAAUCAAAAAUCAGUGUCAAAGUUGACAUAUAUAGCUUUGGAAUUGUACUUCUUGAAGUGGUCAGUGCUCGGAGAAACUUAGAUCGUUCGCGAUCAGAAUCUAGCUGCCAUCUCCUCAGACUGCUGCAGGAGAAGGCCAAGGAGGACAGACUGUUUGACAUCGUGGAAAGUUUCGGCGAAGAGGUGGAAAAUCAUAUGGAUGAAAUGAUAAGAAUGAUUAAGAUUGGAGCCUGGUGUUUGCAGAAUGAUCCCGGAAAACGGCCGUCAAUGUCAACCGUGGUGAAGGUGUUGGAAGGAGUAAUGGAAGUAGAUGCAAACGUCAAUUACAAAUUUGCACAAGCAAUGCCAUAUGUUUCCAUUGUCAAUAGUGAUCAUGUCUCCUCCAGGCCAACAGAAUCUGUUCUUUCUAAUCCUAGAUGAACAUUCAUUUUCAGGCACGUUCAUCAUUGAGAUUUGAGUGCAGGCCAAAUUCAUUAAUGAGUAUGUUGUAAAAUCCAUAAGAGUACUGAUAUGGCUGGAAGAAUCGCUGAAGAAGUUCUUAAGCUUAAUCCUCGGGAUGCGGCUCCUUAUGUGUUGUUUUCUAACAUUCAUGCUUCUGCUAAGAGGUGGCAGGGUGUUUCCGAGUUGAGAGAGGCCAUGAGAGAGAGGAAUGUGAAGAAGGAACCAGGUGUAAGCUGGUUAGAAAUAAAGAAUCAAGUUCAUCAGUUUACCAUGGGCGACAAAUCUCAUCCAAGUUCGAUGGAGAUUGAUUUGUAUUUGGAAGAACUAACAUCAGAGAUGAAGCUACGGGGCUAUGUCCCUGAUACGGGCGCUGAUAUGCAUGACAUGGACAAUGAGGAAAAGGAAUAUAAUUUGAAACACCAUAGUGAAAAGCUUGCAAUUGCGUUUGCUCUGAUGAACACACCCACGGGUGUACCAAUAAGGGUGAUGAAGAACUUGCGCGUCUGCAGUGAUUGCCAUGUUGCUAUUAAGUACAUUUCAGAAAUUAAAAACAGAGAAAUUAUUGUUCGAGAUGCCAGUAGAUUUCAUCAUUUCAGAAAUGGGAAAUGCUCUUGUGGAGAUUACUGGUAAGAAGAUGACUCUUUGCUCUCAUAGUUGUAAACUCUACUUCCAAAAGAUUGGUUUUGUAAACUUUAAAUCAAAAAGGAAAUAAAAGAGUAUUCAUACUUCUUUGAUUACCAAUUUCAAGCUGAAUUAGGAAAAGUCCUUUUCUUUUCUUUGUGAUGUUUUUCCAUAUCCAGAAAAUUGAUUAUGAAAUUUACAAACAUACUUAAUUUGUUUUGAAUUAUUAAAUUUAGUCAAAUAUAAGAAUCGGGUUUAGACCAGUUCUAUUACACGGCAGACCGAAUGUUUGAACUCAUUUAGAGCGGUCUAAGCAUUUUUUUAAAUAAUAGUUUGACUCAAAUAAUAAUUUAUUUAGAUUAUGCCCAAAAGCUGUGAAGAAAAUAAGGCUGUAGGUUGUCUUCAAUCUUAAAAUGUUAAUUGACCUGUUAGGCCAAGCAUGCAUGGGAAAGUCUGAUAUCAGUUUCAGUUGCUUUCUAGAUUUUACUUUUAUAUGUUUGCUUUUGUGGAAGUCAUAAACGCUUCGUCAAAGUCUCAAAGACGUGUUGGACAAUAAUUAUAGCUGGCAAAUGGCAAUCACGACUCUUCCAAGAAAUAAUCAUGAAAGGAUACAAAUUUAAUAUUGAAUAAGUCUUCCAUUAAAUUAAAUGUAACUUGAAAGAUUGUCUACUUAGUAUUCCCUGAUUGUAUGAAUCCUUAAGAUGAUAUGCAUAUAUUAUGUCCAUUUUUUAGUGUGUGAUGUUGCUCAUGUGAGAUAUUAAUACGCGAACACGUCGUUUGCGUAUUAAAUUUAGUAUUUAAGCACUAUCAUUCACUAGUUAUUGUGUGUUCAUCGCACGCGCACGCACACACAAGAUGCAUCGAUGCACACUAUUAGGAGACAAUUUGUGUUAGAUCGACAAUUUCCCAAUGUUUUACCGCCACAAAUUUUGUGUUACACUUCAUAAUAAAUAUAUGUUAAAUUGAGUAACGUUACACCUUUUCAAGUUUUGUGUUAUACUUCACAAAAUGGUCAUUCUAAUUCCAUGUGAUAUUUCUCAACAUUUUUAUCACAUGUCGUACAACGAAAACAAAAAUCACAGCAAAGUUGGAGCCGAAAGAACAUACUGAGACAUGAAUAUACUUUUCCAUGAAUCAUCGAAUAGAGACGAAUGAUAUUUAUGUAGCUUGCUUGACUUAAAAUGUCUUCGUGACCCUUUUUUCUCAUCUCUCUCACCCAAUUCCAAACACACAGAUCAUGGCUAGCUGCAGCCUCCACUGCUUGUUUCCCAUUCUCUCCGUUCUUAUUAGCGUACACAUCGUCCCAACUUCGGCUGCAACAACGGGAAAUUGUUCCGUAAGGGCCAGCAACAUUUACUGUUUGGAUUCAGGCCUUCCCUCUACAUGGUACAACAACAACUCUGUCAUCAUGAAUGGAUGGCAGAUGAGAGUAUUCCUCUUAUUACAGGACGCCGGUGAUUUUGAUUUUUAUUGUGGGUUUUACUGCAAUGGCACCUGCAACUCUUAUGUUUUUUCAGUUGUUGCCGUUAGAGAAAACGAUCACAGAGUGGUCUGGUCAGCUAACAAAGACCGCCCGGUAAAAGCAAACGCGAUGGUGCAGCUAAAGACGGACGGUUUGGUGCUGAGAGAUUCGGAUGGCACCCAGAUAUGGGCGAGCAACCACUCAGGUAACUCCGUUCACUGGAUGAACCUUGACCCGGAUGGAAAUCUUUCUCUCUUUAACAAUGAAAGCAAAAUAAUUUGGAAAUCCUCAGCAGAAAAGAUAUCACUGAGUCCACCAAAUCCCUCCAUCACUCCAAACGGAACAUUAACACCAGAAGGAAAAGCACCACCACCUGUAACGGGCAUAGCACCAACAGAAGAGAACAUGCCAAAAUCACCCAAAAAAAGAGGAACAAAAUUGGUGGUGGUAGCAGGAGGAUCAACCGCUGGUGGGCUUCUGAUUCCCUACAUCACUCCAAACGGAACAUUAACACCAGAAGGAAAUGCAGCCUACAUCACUCCAACAUACAUCACUCCAACAAACCGAACAUCAACACCAGACGGAAAUGCACCCUACAUCUCUCCAACAUACAUCACUCCAACAAACGGAACAUCAACACCAGAAGGAAAUGUACCCUACAUCACUCCAACAAACGGAACAUUAGCACCAGAAGGAAAUGUACCCUACAUCACUCCAACAAACGGAACAUUAGCACCAGAAGGAAAUGUACCCUACAUCACUCCAACAAACGGAACAUUAGCACCAGAAGGAAAUGUACCCUACAUCACUCCAACAAACGGAACAUUAGCACCAGAAGGAAAUGUACCCUACAUCACUCCAACAAACGGAACAUUAGCACCAGAAGGAAAUGUACCCUACAUCACUCCAACAAACGGAACAUUAGCACCAGAAGGAAAUGUACCCUACAUCACUCCAACAAACGGAACAUUAGCACCAGAAGGAAAUGUACCCUACAUCACUCCAACAAACGGAACAUUAGCACCAGAAGGAAAUGUACCCUACAUCACUCCAACAAACGGAACAUUAGCACCAGAAGGAAAUGCACCACCACCUGCGACAGGCAUAGCACCAACAGAAGAGAACAGGCCAAAAUCACCCAAAAAAGGACGAACAAAAUUGGUGGCGGUAGUAGCAGGAUCAACCGCUGGUGGGCUUCUGAUUAUCUGUAUUGUAAUUGUGUUGUAUAUUGUGAAAGUUCGGAGGAACGUAGGGGAGGAGGAACAUUUGGAAGAUGACAUGAAACAAGUUCCUGGAUUACCUGUGAGGUUUUCAUAUGAAGAUUUACAGAUUGCGACAGAAGAUUUUAAAGAGAGAAUUGGAGGAGGGGGGUUUGGAACUGUGUUCAAGGGGGUUUUAAAAGACGGCAGUAAAAUUGCUGUAAAGCGUCUGGAUAGAAUGGAGCAGGGGAUGAGGGAGUUCGUAGCAGAAGUUGAGACAAUCGGUAGCUUGCAUCAUUUCAAUCUUGUGAGAUUGAUUGGCUUUUGCGUAGAGAAAUCCUGCAGGCUUCUUGUUUAUGAGUACAUGAGCAAUGGCUCCUUGGAAAAAUGGAUUUUUGUCAGAGAUCCGAGACCUUGUCUUGACUGGCAAACUAGGAAGAAAAUAAUACUUGAUGUAGCCAAAGGAUUGACUUAUCUGCAUGAAGAUUGCCGGAGAAGAGUGGCACAUCUUGAUAUAAAGCCACAAAAUAUUCUCUUGGACGAAAAUUUCAAUGCCAAGGUUUCUGAUUUUGGGUUGGCUCAGCUAAUCGAGAGAGACGAGAGCCUAGUGCAGGCAACAAUGAGAGGAACUCCAGGAUACAUUGCUCCGGAAUGGAGGAAAUCAAAAAUCAGUGUCAAAGUUGACAUAUAUAGCUUUGGAAUUGUACUUCUUGAAGUGGUCAGUGCUCGGAGAAACUUAGAUCGUUCGCGAUCAGAAUCUAGCUGCCAUCUCCUCAGACUGCUGCAGGAGAAGGCCAAGGAGGACAGACUGUUUGACAUCGUGGAAAGUUUCGGCGAAGAGGUGGAAAAUCAUAGGGAUGAAAUGAUAAGAAUGAUUAAGAUUGGAGCCUGGUGUUUGCAGAAUGAUCCCGGAAAACGGCCGUCAAUGUCAACCGUGGUGAAGGUGUUGGAAGGAGUAAUGGAAGUAGAUGCAAACAUCAAUUACAAAUUUGCACAAGCAAUGCCAUAUGUUUCCAUUGUCAAUAGUGAUCAUGUCUCCUCCAGGCCAACAGAAUCUGUUCUUUCUAAUCCUAGAUGAACAUUCAUUUUCAGGCACGUUCAUCAUUGAGAUUUGAGUGCAGGCCAAAUUCAUUAAUGAGUAUGUGAUCCACUGUUUUGUGUUCAUGAGAUUUGAUUUUUAAGCUUGUUUUGAGUUCUGUUAAUUGUACAUUGUGCCAUUUUUCUCCUUUGGCAUUUCAGUAUAAUAUGCCGGAUAUGCUUCAUUUUUUUUUCCUCUCUCACAAUCUGUUAGAAUUGUAAUGGAGAAAAAGAACCAGCAUUUUAUAUUUGUCACUUGAGUCAAGGAUUCAAGCUUACUCAUCACUUCAGCUGUGCAAUAAAUAUUACAUUUAGCUUUGAUAUUGCAAGCAGAAGCAGAGUAACAAGGAAAAGAAAAACUGGUAGUAGCAAUAGGCAAUUAAAUUUAUAGGAACAAACUUAAACCGAAGAGAAAUAGUAAAAAAGGAACUAAAAUGAAUCCAGAAGAAAGAAAAUAUGCAAAACAGUUUCAUGUUUGUAGGAGGAAUAAACAUUAAUACUUUGCUGCCAAAACAAGACACUCUGCGCAAUUAACAUCCUUUACUUGUUGACAAAUUAUUUCUAAUCUCUAUGUAAAUGUCAUUAAUAAACGGAUGUGCAUAUGCGAGGGUAAAAUUGACUUUGCAUUCAGAUUUCUCAAAAAUUAUAAUACAAAAUUUAGGGGAUCUUGAUAAUUAUUUUCUCAAAUUUUAGGAAGUAUAACUAUUCUUUUCCUUAAAAUUCGAAGAGAAAAAAAAAACUAUUUUUCAACCCCAAAUAUUCAUCUACUAAUUUUUUUAGGGCAUUAUAAGUGUCUAUUUGAUAUGACUUAUCUAAUGACCACAACCAAGUGCUUAUUUAAUCUCAUAAACUCUUAUCAUAAUUUUUGUUGUUAUUUGGUUUUUUUUAGAGCUUUUAGAGCUUAAAUAAAUUAUUUUUCUCUACUAGUAAAAGCCCAAAUUUUAGAUUUUUGGGAAUUGAGGUUGAAAUUUUUUUUUAAAAUGUUAAAAUAUCCAAAAUAUUUUUUUAUUUAUUUGACAAUAUUAUUUUAUUUUUUCAUAAGAUAACUUAAAAAACUUACCCAUUAAAAUAAUUUCAUAAAUUUUUAAUAAAAACUCUUAUUGACUAUGAAAAAAUUAAAAUUUUUUAAAUGAAAGCUUCAUUUGUAAAAAUUUUAUUACCAAAAACUCCACUUAAAUAAAUUCUGUUUGAAAAAUUAUACUAAAUAGAGUCUAAAUCUUUGAUUCUCCGUUAAAAAAAGAAACAAAAAGAAAAUAAUUUUUAUGUAAUGUCCUUUUAAUUUAUUGAAAGAUAAAAUUGUAAUUUAAAAGUCAGUUAACUGUGGAAACAAGACUGUAACAAGAUAUUUAUCAAGCAAAUAAAUGAACCAUUAGGAUAAAAGAAGGAGAGAUUUUACUUUAUCACUACAUGGAUACAAAAGUUAAUUACCAGAGUGAAGGAGGAAAAAAAAUCUAUAUCAAAAUUAAUUAUAAAGAUUUGCAGAGAUUUGUUGAAAAAGAAAGUGGAUCAAUAUACAAGUGGUGGGAGUUACUUUUCGGUAUUAUUUAGAAGGCUCUUGCUAGAUUCUUGAUCUUGCCAACCCAAAUCCAAAUCACUUCUUGCCCAAACAGGUAAUUUAAUAAUCCUGUUUUUGCCUUCUCCGUCAAUUAUUCCUCCAACAAUUUUCAAUAAAAUUUAGGCAUUUUUUUUUCCUUUUUGCAGAUGGUAACCACAUUUGGAAUGUCUGAAAUUGGCCCAUGGUCGCUCGUGGACGGAUCACAGAGUGGUGAUGUCAUCAUGAGAAUGAUGGCAAGGAACUCAAUGUCUGAGAAGCUUGCUGCAGACAUCGAUGCCGCAGUCAAGAGACUAUCAGACCGUGCUUAUGAGAUUGCGUUGAGCCAAAUAAGGAACAACCGUGAAGCCAUUGACAAGAUCGUGGAAGUUCUUCUUGAGAAGGAAACGAUGUCAGGGGAUGAAUUCCGGGCAAUCCUCUCAGAGUUUGUCGAAAUCCCAUCUGAAAAUAGGGUUGCUCCAGCUGUUCCAGCACCAUUAUCUGUAUCUGCUUGAGUAGCAUUAAUAUUAUCCAUAAUUGAAAUUUCAGCCACUCUUUGAACGCAUACACUUGAAUGUAUAAUACUCUGUAUUCUUGAUCAAAUGUAAGUAGGAUUGUACACUAACUCAAAAAGUCAUGAUUGAGUAAAUUUCUAAAGUUUUGCUCCUGAUUUUUGAAGCAUAAAAUCUCAGCGUUAUCCACAGGUGCAGACUAAUUAUCGUUAUAAGUUUCGGAAUCAUACGAAAUCAGCUCAACUUAAAAACAGCAUCAGUACAUGUCUGGCCUUCGUGAACUCAAAAAGUCACGAUUGAGUAAAUUUCUAAAGUUUUGCUCCUGAUUUUUGAAGCAUAAAAUCUCAGCGUUAGCCACAGGUGCAGACUAAUUAUCGUUAUAAGUUUCGGAAUCAUACGAAAUCAGCUCAACUUAAAAACAGUAUCAGUACAUGUCUGGCCUUCGUUUUUUCUCCAAGACUGCCACGGAAGUUGUCGCAAAUUUCAUUGACUCAACAGAAGAAUUUAUCAACUUAUGCUCAAAAGGACACAUAAAGGAAGCCUUCAACAGAUUCAAAUCUGAAAUAUGGUCAGACCCAACUCUCUUCUCUCAUCUAAUCCAAUCAUGCACGCUCAAAAAAUCACUUUCAUGUUCAAAACAGCUUCACUCUUUGAUAGUCACAUCUGGGUGUUCCUCAAACAAUUUCAUUUGCAAUCACUUGCUCAACAUGUACUCAAAAAUUGGGCAAUUACAAACAGCUGUUACCCUGUUUGGUCUCAUGCCGAGGAGAAAUAUCAUGUCUUGUAACAUUAUGAUCAAUGCGAAUGAGCAGAGCGGUGAUUUGGAGAGUGCACGGAAAUUGUUUGAGGGGAUGACUAAGAGAAAUAUUGCAACCUGGAAUGCGAUGGUUGCGGGAUUGGUUCAGUUUGAGUUUAAUGAGGAGGGUUUGAGAUUACUAAGUGAAAUGCAUCAAGUUGGUUUUUUGCCUGAUGAAUUUACUUUAGGUAGUGUUUUGAGGGGGUGUGCUGGUUUGAGAGGGUUAGAUGCUGGGAGGCAAAUUCAUUGUUACGUGGUGAAAGGUGGGUUUGAGCUGGAUUUGGUUGCUGGGAGUUCAUUGGCUCACAUGUAUAUGAAAAGUGGAAGCUUGGUAGAAGGAGAGAAGGUGAUUAGAUUGAUGCCUGUUUGCAAUGUGAUUGCUUGGAUCACACUCAUUGCAGGAAAAGCUCAAAAUGGGCUUGCUGAGGAUGUCUUGGAUCAAUAUAAUUUGAUGAGAAUGGUAGGGUUUAGGCCUGACAAGAUUACAUUUGUGAGUGUGAUUAGUUCAUGUUCGGAAUUGGCAACAUUAGGUCAAGGUCAGCAGAUUCAUGCAGAAGUGGUUAAAGCUGGGGCUAGUUUGGAUGUUGGGGUGAUUAGUUCGUUAAUUAGCAUGUAUUCGAGAUGUGGGUGUUUGGAUGAUUCAGUGAAAGCUUUUCUGGAAUGUGAAUACUCGGAUGUCGUUUUGUGGAGUUCAAUGAUUGCUGCUUAUGGAUUUCAUGGAAAGGGAGAGGAAGCUAUCAACUUGUUUGAGCAGAUGGAGCAGAAAGAAUUCGAGGCAAAUGAUGUUACUUUUGUGAGCUUGCUGUAUGCUUGCAGUCAUUGUGGUCUGAAGGAAAAAGGGAUGGAAUUCUUUGAUUUGAUGGUAAAGAAGUAUGGUCUGAAGCCUAGAUUAGAACAUUAUACAUGUGUGGUUGACCUACUUGGCCGUUGUGGUUAUUUAGACGAAGCAGCGGCUCUGAUAAGAAACAUGCCAGUCAAAGCCGAUGCUAUCAUAUGGAAAACUUUGUUAUCCGCAUGUAAAAUCCAUAAGAGUACUGAUAUGGCUGGAAGAAUUGCUGAAGAAAUUCUUGGACAUAAUCCUCAGGAUGCGGCUCCUUAUGUGCUGCUUUCUAACAUUCAUGCUUCUGCUAAGAGGUGGCAGGGUGUUUCCGAGUUGAGAGAGGCCAUGAGAGAGAGGAAUGUGAAGAAGGAACCAGGUGUAAGCUGGUUAGAAAUAAAGAAUCAAGUUCAUCAGUUUACCAUGGGCGACAAAUCUCAUCCAAUUUCGAUGGAGAUUGAUUUGUAUUUGGAAGAACUAACAUCAGAGAUGAAGCUACGGGGCUAUGUCCCUGAUACGGGCGCUGAUAUGCAUGACAUGGACAGUGAGGAAAAGGAAUAUAAUUUGAAACACCAUAGCGAAAAGCUUGCAAUUGCUUUUGCUGAACACACCCGCGGGUGUACCAAUAAGGGUGAUGAAGAACUUGCGCGUCUGCAGUGAUUGUCAUGUUGCCAUUUAAGUACAUUUCGGAAAUUAAAAACAGAGAAAUUAUUGUUCGAGAUGCCAGUAGAUUUCAUCAUUUCAGAAACGGGAAAUGCUCUUGUGGAGGUGACUCAUUGCUCUCAUAGUUGUAAGCUCUACCGACAAAGAUUGGUUUUGUCAACUUUAAAUCAAAAAGGAAACAAAAGAAUAUUCAUACUUCUUUGAUUACCAAUUUCAAGCUGAAUUAGGAAAAGUCCUUUUCUUUUCUUUGUGAUGUUUUUCCAUAUCCAGAAAAUUUAUUAUGAAAUUUACAAACAUAUUUAAUUUAUUUUGAAUUAUUGAAUUUAGUCAAAUAUAAUAAUCGGGUUUAGACCAGUUCUAUUAAACCGCAGUCCGGAUGUUUCAACUCAUUUAGAGCGGUCUAAGCAUUUUUUAUUUUUUUUUUAAUACUGAUUAAUCAUCAUAUUACUGCAUUACACAGAUAUUUACAACUGCUAUUAUAGUAGAUAUAUUACACUGAUAUUUACAAUCAGAAAUACAUGAUUGAGACUUAUAUUAUUACAUUAAAUUCUGUGAAAUACAUGCCCAGAUAAAUAAUCUCUUACAAAAGAGAAAUGUCCAUACUCCACUCGUAUUGCACGGUCUAAGCAUUUUUUAAAAUAAUAGUUUUGACUCAAAUAAUAAUUGAUUAGAUUAUGCCCAAAAGCAGUGAAGACAAUAAGGCUGUAGGUUGUCUUCAAUCUUAAAUGUUAAUUGACCUGUUAGGCCAAGCACAUGUAAGAAAGUCUGAUAUCACUUUCAGUUGCUUUCUAUUUUUUUACUUUUUUAUAUUUUCUCUCGUAGAAGUCAUAAAGGCUUGGUCAAAGACGUGUUGGACAAUAAGUAUAGCCGGCAACCACUGCUCUUCCAAGAAAUAAUCAUGGAAUCAUACAAAUUUGAUAUUGAGUAGGUCUUCCAUGAGUUGCAUUUACUGUAACUUAUAAUCACGGAAAGUAAGGUUAAUAUGUGAGACCCAUUCCACUUGCCUCACUUAUUUAUUAUUUAUUUUUGUGUUAUUUUUAAUAAUUGUAAGUUAUAUUGACUGUAGCUUAAAGAUUGUUCAUUUAUUUUUUAAUGUGUGAUGUUGCUCAUGUGAGAUAUUAAUACACCAACUUAUUGUUUACACAUUAAAUUUAGUAUUUAAGCACCAUUCGCUAGUUAUUCUGUGUUCAUCGCACACAUACAAAAGAUGCAUCAAUACGCACUAUUAGGAGACAAUUUGUGUUAGAUCGACUCAAAUGUUUUGCCGCCACAAAUUUUGUGUUACACUUCAUAAUAUAUGUUAAAUCGAGUAACGUUACACCCAAAAAAGAAAAAAGAAAUUCAUAGCAAAGUUGGAGCCGGAAGAAAGAAGAUUCUGAUACAUGAAUACACUUUUCCAUGAAUCAUCAAAUAGAGACAAAUGCCGUUUAUGUAGCUUGCUUGACUUAAAAGUCUUCGUGACCCUUUUUUCUCUUCUUCUGCCGUCUCCCUCACCCAAUUCCAAACACACAGAUCAUGGCUAGCUGCAGCCUCCACUGCUUGUUUCCCAUUCUCUCCGUUCUUAUUAGCGUACACAUCGUCCCAACUUCGGCUGCAACAACGGGAAAUUGUUCCGUAAGGGCCAGCAAUAUUUACUGUUUGGAUUCGGGCCUUCCCUCUACAUGGUACAACAACAAUUCUGUCAUCAUGAAUGGAUGGCAGAUGAGAGUAUUCCUCUUAUUACAGGACGCCGGUGAUUUUGAUUUUUAUUGUGGGUUUUACUGCAAUGGGACCUGCAAUUCUUAUGUUUUUUCAGUUGUUGCCGUUAGAGGGAAUGAUCCCAAAGUGGUCUGGUCAGCUAACAAAGACCGCCCGGUAAAAGCAAACGCGAUGGUGCAGCUAAAGACGGACGGUUUGGUGCUGAGAGAUUCGGAUGGCACCCAGAUAUGGGCGAGCAACCACUCAGGUAACUCCGUUCACUGGAUGAACCUUGACCCGGAUGGAAAUCUUUCUCUCUUUAACAAUGAAAGCAAAAUAAUUUGGAAAUCCUCUGCUGAAAAGAUAUCAUUCAGUCCACCACCACGUCCCCCUAUCACUCCAAACCCAACAUUAGCACCAGAAGGAAAUGCACCACCACCUGUGACGGGCAUAGCACCAACAGAAGAGAACAGGCCAAAAUCACCCAAAAAAGGAGGAACAAAAUUGGUGGCAGCAGUAAAAAAAAAAUAUGUCAAUGUAAUAUAACAUUGUCACUAGUAUUAAAAGUACUUACAGAAACAACAUGCAGUAACAAUUAUCAAUAUUUUAUAAAAAUUUUAUGUGAAUUUUCAGAUUUUAUUUAUUAGUUAUAUUAACUAAGAGGGCAAGUUAGAAAAUAAAAUUUGAGUAUUUUAAGGAGCUUUUGAUAGAAGAAUUAACAACAUCUAGUUUUUUAAAGAGAGCUAGAGCUCCUGACAAAGAAAUAACUGCACCCAAAUACAUUUUUGCUGAAUUGAGUUUAGUUUAUUAUUGAAACUUUUGACUAAUAAUACCUUUACAAUUUGAAAGGAUGAAUAAAUUUUAAUUGUUUAAUUUAUUAAGUUUAGUAAUUAAGUACUUCACCUCAAACAUAAAAGUGUUACUUGUAAUUUUUAAUUGAUUGUAAUUACAUGUAUAGAUCUAUUUUAAUUUGAAAUUCUUAAUUGAUUUUUUAAUCCUUAUAUAAUUAUAUAUUAUUAUAGGCUGCAAUGUCAGAUUCUAUAAUUGAAGAAUAGUGUUUUCAUAUUCGAGUUAUCUUUUGUUUUUUACUCUUUUUCUAUAAUUAUUUUUGUUUAUAGUUCAUAUUUAGAGAGAUAUUAAUAUACUUAUUUUUAUUUAUUUUUGUUUAUAGUUCAUAUUUAGAGAGAUAAAAUUUUUGGUAUUCCUCCUUAUUUAAUAUACUUAUUUUUAUAUAUAAAUUUUUAUGUUCGCUUCAAAAUAUAAAUUUUAAAAUUUAACCCCGAAUAAUAUUAAGUCCUGGAUCCGCCCCUGCAGAUAACUCCGUUAACUGGAUGAACCUUGACCCCGAUGGAAAUAUUGCUCUCUUUAACAAUGAAAGCAAAAUAAUUUGGAAAUCCUCUGCUGAAAAGAUAUCAUUCAGUCCACCACCACGUCCCCCUAUCACUCCAAACCCAACAUUAGCACCAGAAGGAAAUGCACCACCACCUGUGACGGGCAUAGCACCAACAGAAGAGAACAGGCCAAAAUCACCCAAAAAAGGAGGAACAAAAUUGGUGGCAGCAGUAGCAGGAUCAACCGCUGGUGGGCUUCUGAUUAUCUGUAUUGUAAUUGCAUUGUAUAUUGUGAAAGUUC